RNAcentral lists this ribosomal RNA (874 nucleotides) under uncultured Actinomycetes bacterium. RNAcentral describes it as "SSU rRNA". It matches the Rfam family "Bacterial small subunit ribosomal RNA", at positions 27 to 916 of the family's 1533-position model. The record is from RNAcentral. Lineage: Bacteria; Bacillati; Actinomycetota; Actinomycetes.
GGACGAACGCUGGCGGCGUGCUUAACACAUGCAAGUCGAACGAUGAACCACUUCGGUGGGGAUUAGUGGCGAACGGGUGAGUAACACGUGGGCAAUCUGCCCUUCACUCUGGGACAAGCCCUGGAAACGGGGUCUAAUACCGGAUACGACUACUGAGGGCAUCCUUGGUGGUGGAAAGCUCCGGCGGUGAAGGAUGAGCCCGCGGCCUAUCAGCUUGUUGGUGAGGUAACGGCUCACCAAGGCGACGACGGGUAGCCGGCCUGAGAGGGCGACCGGCCACACUGGGACUGAGACACGGCCCAGACUCCUACGGGAGGCAGCAGUGGGGAAUAUUGCACAAUGGGCGAAAGCCUGAUGCAGCGACGCCGCGUGAGGGAUGACGGCCUUCGGGUUGUAAACCUCUUUCAGCAGGGAAGAAGCGAAAGUGACGGUACCUGCAGAAGAAGCGCCGGCUAACUACGUGCCAGCAGCCGCGGUAAUACGUAGGGCGCAAGCGUUGUCCGGAAUUAUUGGGCGUAAAGAGCUCGUAGGCGGCUUGUCACGUCGAUUGUGAAAGCCCGAGGCUUAACCUCGGGUCUGCAGUCGAUACGGGCUAGCUAGAGUGUGGUAGGGGAGAUCGGAAUUCCUGGUGUAGCGGUGAAAUGCGCAGAUAUCAGGAGGAACACCGGUGGCGAAGGCGGAUCUCUGGGCCAUUACUGACGCUGAGGAGCGAAAGCGUGGGGAGCGAACAGGAUUAGAUACCCUGGUAGUCCACGCCGUAAACGGUGGGAACUAGGUGUUGGCGACAUUCCACGUCGUCGGUGCCGCAGCUAACGCAUUAAGUUCCCCGCCUGGGGAGUACGGCCGCAAGGCUAAAACUUAAAGGAAUUGACGG